AGUGAACGCUGGCGGUAGGCCUAACACAUGCAAGUCGAACGGCAGCACAGUAAGAGCUUGCUCUUACGGGUGGCGAGUGGCGGACGGGUGAGGAAUACAUCGGAAUCUACUUUUUCGUGGGGGAUAACGUAGGGAAACUUACGCUAAUACCGCAUACGACCUACGGGUGAAAGCAGGGGAUCUUCGGACCUUGCGCGAUUGAAUGAGCCGAUGUCGGAUUAGCUAGUUGGCGGGGUAAAGGCCCACCAAGGCGACGAUCCGUAGCUGGUCUGAGAGGAUGAUCAGCCACACUGGAACUGAGACACGGUCCAGACUCCUACGGGAGGCAGCAGAGGGGAAUAUUGGACAAUGGGCGCAAGCCUGAUCCAGCCAUACCGCGUAGGUGAAGAAGGCCUUCGGGUUGUAAAGCCCUUUUGUUGGGAAAGAAAAGCAGCAGGUUAAUACCCCGCUGUUCUGACGGUACCCAAAGAAUAAGCACCGGCUAACUUCGUG
This 492-nucleotide ribosomal RNA is filed under the name uncultured bacterium. RNAcentral's name for it is "partial 16S ribosomal RNA". It matches the Rfam family "Bacterial small subunit ribosomal RNA", at positions 29 to 507 of the family's 1533-position model. The record is from RNAcentral.